This 460-nucleotide ribosomal RNA is filed under the name uncultured bacterium. RNAcentral's name for it is "partial 16S ribosomal RNA". It matches the Rfam family "Bacterial small subunit ribosomal RNA", at positions 338 to 795 of the family's 1533-position model. The record is from RNAcentral.
CCUACGGGUGGCUGCAGUGAGGAAUAUUGGUCAAUGGACGAGAGUCUGAACCAGCCAAGUAGCGUGAAGGAUGACUGCCCUAUGGGUUGUAAACUUCUUUUAUAAAGGAAUAAAACGAGGCAUGUGUGCCCUUUUGUAUGUACUUUAUGAAUAAGGAUCGGCUAACUCCGUGCCAGCAGCCGCGGUAAUACGGAGGAUCCGAGCGUUAUCCGGAUUUAUUGGGUUUAAAGGGAGCGUAGAUGGGUUGUUAAGUCAGUUGUGAAAGUUUGCGGCUCAACCGUAAAAUUGCAAUUGAAACUGGCAGUCUUGAGUACAGUUGAGGUAGGCGGAAUUCGUGGUGUAGCGGUGAAAUGCUUAGAUAUCACGAAGAACCCCGAUUGCGAAGGCAGUUUACUAAACUGUAACUGACAUUGAUGCUCGAAAGUGUGGGUAUCAAACAGGAUUAGAUACCCUAGUAGUC